ACCGAGAAGAGUUUCUUCAUGCCUAUGCAGGGCCAAGCUGGGCCAGGGUGGAGUAACUUGAGGACUCUAUGGGGAGAUGGGCUUAUUAUGGAAGGAUCCCCAAGCACAGCUGAAGAGCUCUGGGAGGAUGGAAGAGCAGAAUAGCCAGAAGCAGCUGCAGAGUUGGCAUGCUGGGAGACGACUAGAUCUGGGAAAGGAUGGGCUGGCAGGGGCACGCCUUUGAAUCCCUCUGCUGGAACCUUUACAGGUUGGCUCUUUGCAGCAUUCCAGUGGUGCCUGGGAAACGCCUGGCACUGCCUGACCACAGCUGCCUCCCUCCAGGAUUUCUUUCUGUUAAUCAGGUGCUUGGUGUUUCUACCCCUAUGGACUACAGACCUUCCACCCUGCUAUGCUCUCCUGGUGGGCAGCCCGUGGUAGCAGCAGG
This 424-nucleotide long non-coding RNA is filed under the name Vombatus ursinus (common wombat). Its description in RNAcentral is "lncRNA (ENSVURG00010015195.1)". Lineage: Eukaryota; Metazoa; Chordata; Mammalia; Diprotodontia; Vombatidae. The record is from RNAcentral.